GACGAACGCUGGCGGCGUGCUUAACACAUGCAAGUCGAACGGAAAGGCCCUGCUUUUGUGGGGUGCUCGAGUGGCGAACGGGUGAGUAACACGUGAGUAACCUGCCCUUGACUUUGGGAUAACUUCAGGAAACUGGGGCUAAUACCGGAUAGGAGCUCCUGCUGCAUGGUGGGGGUUGGAAAGUUUCGGCGGUUGGGGAUGGACUCGCGGCUUAUCAGCUUGUUGGUGGGGUAGUGGCUUACCAAGGCUUUGACGGGUAGCCGGCCUGAGAGGGUGACCGGCCACAUGGGGACUGAGAUACGGACCAGACUCCUACGGGAGGCAGCAGUGGGGAAUAUUGCACAAUGGGCGGAAGCCUGAGGCAACAACGCCGCGUGCGGGAUGACGGCCUUCGGGUUGUAAACCGCUUUCGCCUGUGACGAAGCGUGAGUGACGGUAAUGGAUAAAGAAGCACCGGCUAACUACGUG
Molecule: ribosomal RNA, 468 nt
Filed under: uncultured bacterium
Lineage: Bacteria
Description: partial 16S ribosomal RNA
Rfam family: Bacterial small subunit ribosomal RNA
Source: RNAcentral